GACGAACGCUGGCGGCGUGCUUAACACAUGCCAGUCGAACGGAAAGGCCCUGCUUUUGUGGGGUGCUCGAGUGGCGAACGGGUGAGUAACACGUGAGUAACCUGCCCUUGACUUUGGGAUAACUUCAGGAAACUGGGGCUAAUACCGGAUAGGAGCUCCUGCUGCAUGGUGGGGGUUGGAAAGUUUCGGCGGUUGGGGAUGGACUCGCGGCUUAUCAGCUUGUUGGUGGGGUAGUGGCUUACCAAGGCUUUGACGGGUAGCCGGCCUGAGAGGGUGACCGGCCACAUUUGGACUGCGGUAGGGCCCAGACUCCUACAGGAGGCAGCGGUGGAGAAUAUUGCACAAUGGGCCGAAGUCUGACACAACAACGCCGCGUGCGGGAUGACGGCCUUCGGGUUGUAAACCGCUUUCGCCUGUGACGAAGCCUGAGUGACGGUAAUGGGUGAAGAAGCCCCGGCUAACUACGUG
This 468-nucleotide ribosomal RNA is filed under the name uncultured bacterium. RNAcentral describes it as "partial 16S ribosomal RNA". It matches the Rfam family "Bacterial small subunit ribosomal RNA", at positions 28 to 507 of the family's 1533-position model. The record is from RNAcentral.